This 512-nucleotide ribosomal RNA is filed under the name Ferrovum sp. 34-44-207. RNAcentral describes it as "bacterial SSU rRNA". It matches the Rfam family "Bacterial small subunit ribosomal RNA", at positions 1024 to 1533 of the family's 1533-position model. The record is from RNAcentral. Lineage: Bacteria; Pseudomonadati; Pseudomonadota; Betaproteobacteria; Ferrovales; Ferrovaceae.
GAACCGUAACACAGGUGCUGCAUGGCUGUCGUCAGCUCGUGUCGUGAGAUGUUGGGUUAAGUCCCGCAACGAGCGCAACCCUUGUCAUUAAUUGCCAUCAUUGAGUUGGGCACUUUAAUGAGACUGCCGGUGACAAACCGGAGGAAGGUGGGGAUGACGUCAAGUCCUCAUGGCCCUUAUGGGUAGGGCUUCACACGUCAUACAAUGGCAGGUACAGAGGGUAGCCAACCCGCGAGGGGGAGCCAAUCCCAGAAAGCCUGUCGUAGUCCGGAUUGUUCUCUGCAACUCGAGAGCAUGAAGUCGGAAUCGCUAGUAAUCGCGGAUCAGCAUGUCGCGGUGAAUACGUUCCCGGGUCUUGUACACACCGCCCGUCACACCAUGGGAGUGGGUGAUACCAGAAGUAGGUAGUCUAACCGCAAGGAGGGCGCUUACCACGGUAUGAUUCAUGACUGGGGUGAAGUCGUAACAAGGUAGCCGUAGGGGAACCUGCGGCUGGAUCACCUCCUUUAAGA